Non-coding RNA from Cordylochernes scorpioides, 78 nucleotides. Lineage: Eukaryota; Metazoa; Arthropoda; Arachnida; Pseudoscorpiones; Chernetidae. The record is from the annotation of a GenBank genome assembly.
UGUCUAGAGAUGAGAAUCGAACCCACAGUGUUCCGCUUACCAGGCAGAUGCCAUGUCCACUAGGCUAUAGUCAUAGAU